RNAcentral lists this ribosomal RNA (500 nucleotides) under uncultured bacterium. RNAcentral's name for it is "partial 16S ribosomal RNA". It matches the Rfam family "Bacterial small subunit ribosomal RNA", at positions 30 to 523 of the family's 1533-position model. The record is from RNAcentral.
AUUGAACGCUGGCGGAAUGCUUUACACAUGCAAGUCGAACGGCAGCACGGACUUCGAUCUGGUGGCGAGUGGCGAACGGGUGAGUAAUGUAUCGGAACGUGCCCAGUCGUGGGGGAUAACGUAGUGAAAAUUACGCUAAUACCGCAUACGAUCUAUGGAUGAAAGCGGGGGGUCGCAAGACCUCGCGCGAUUGGAGCGGCCGAUAUCAGAUUAGGUAGUUGGUGGGGUAAAGGACCACCAAGCCAACGAUCCGUAGCUGGUCUGAGAGGACGACCAGCCACACUGGAACUGAGACACGGUCCAGACGCCUACGGGAGGCAGCAGUGGGGAAUUUUGGACAAUGGGCGAAAGCCUGAUCCAGCCAUUCCGCGUGCAGGAUGAAGGCCCUCGGGUUGUAAACUGCUUUUGUACAGAACGAAAAGGUUUCUACUAAUACUAGGAGCUCAUGACGGUACUGUAAGAAUAAGCACCGGCUAACUACGUGCCAGCCGCCGCGGUAA